RNAcentral lists this ribosomal RNA (274 nucleotides) under uncultured bacterium. Its description in RNAcentral is "partial 16S ribosomal RNA". It matches the Rfam family "Bacterial small subunit ribosomal RNA", at positions 523 to 796 of the family's 1533-position model. The record is from RNAcentral.
AGACGGAGGGUCCUAGCGUUGUUCGGAAUAACUGGGCGUAAAGGGUACGUAGGCGGUUUGGUCAGUUAGAUGUGAAAGCCCAGGGCUCAACCUUGGAACUGCAUUUAAUACUGCCAGACUUGAGAUCGGAAGAGGAAAGCGGAAUACCUAGUGUAGAGGUGAAAUUCGUAGAUAUUAGGAGGAACAUCAGAGGCGAAGGCGGCUUUCUGGUCCGAUACUGACGCUGAGGUACGAAAGCGUGGGGAGCAAACAGGAUUAGAAACCCUAGUAGUCC